Long non-coding RNA from Prunus dulcis (almond), 400 nucleotides. RefSeq lists it as uncharacterized. The transcript is spliced from 3 exons. The record is from RefSeq and is a predicted model, not a curated record. NCBI's taxonomy places the organism in Eukaryota, Viridiplantae, Streptophyta, Magnoliopsida, Rosales, Rosaceae.
UAGGGCAUGUUUGGUAUGGCUCACUAAAUGGGACUGUGCUAUAUUAGACCUGAAGCCCAUGUUUGGUUAGCAAGAGGACUAAUGUAAAUGGGAUAGUAGAGCCCAACAGUAAAAAAAACGCCUCACUCGUUCUCCUUAUACAGAGAAGCUCAAAAUGAGUUCGCAAAAUAAGCCUUCGCUAUAGAACACGCCUCUCUCCAGUUCACUUCUUCUCUGCGACUCCACUCCACCUCUCCUGCGUUCAACAUCGACUCAUCUUCUUCGAAUCUUGACGCAAGUACUAAUAUUGGUCUUGUUGGAUCUUCCUGGACUGCUGUUCUUCUCUACGUACACACUUCUUGUUCUCUUCUGGGCAGAGAUAUAUCACCAGUCCGACGCAGCACCAAACGUAGGUCAAUAC